Molecule: ribosomal RNA, 403 nt
Filed under: uncultured bacterium
Lineage: Bacteria
Description: partial 16S ribosomal RNA
Rfam family: Bacterial small subunit ribosomal RNA
Source: RNAcentral
AUUGAACGCUGGCGGCAGGCCUCACACAUGCAAGUCGAGCGAGCGGCGGACGGGUGAGUAAUGUAUGGGGACUGCCCGAUAGAGGGGGAUAACUACUGGAAACGGGGGCUAAUACCGCAUACAAACGGAUAACCCAUAUGGGAUUAGCUAGUAGGUGGGGUAAAGGCUCACCUAGGCGACGAUCUCUAGCUGUUCUUAGAGGAGGAUCAGCCAAACGGGGACUGAGAAACGGCCCAGACGCCUACGGAGGCAGCAGUGGGGAAUAUUGCACAAUGGGCGAAAGCCUUAUGCAGCCAUGCCGCGUGUAUGAAGAAGGCCUUAGGAUUGUAAAGUACUUUCAGCGGGGAGGCGUUACCCAAAGAAAAAGCACCGGCUAACUCCGUGCCAGCAGCCGCGGUAAUAC